AGUCGAGCGAAUGAGAAGAGCUUGCUCUUCGAUUCAGCGGCGGACGGGUGAGUAAUGCCUAGGAAUCUGCCUGGUAGUGGGGGACAACGUUUCGAAAGGAACGCUAAUACCGCAUACGUCCUACGGGAGAAAGCAGGGGACCUUCGGGCCUUGCGCUAUCAGAUGAGCCUAGGUCGGAUUAGCUAGUUGGUGAGGUAAUGGCUCACCAAGGCGACGAUCCGUAACUGGUCUGAGAGGAUGAUCAGUCACACUGGAACUGAGACACGGUCCAGACUCCUACGGGAGGCAGCAGUGGGGAAUAUUGGACAAUGGGCGAAAGCCUGAUCCAGCCAUGCCGCGUGUGUGAAGAAGGUCUUCGGAUUGUAAAGCACUUUAAGUUGGGAGGAAGGGCAUUAACCUAAUACGUUAGUGUUUUGACGUUACCGACAGAAUAAGCACCGGCUAACUCUGUGCCAGCAGCCGCGGUAAUACAGAGGGUGCAAGCGUUAAUCGGAAUUACUGGGCGUAAAGCGCGCGUAGGUGGUUUGUUAAGUUGGAUGUGAAAGCCCCGGGCUCAACCUGGGAACUGCAUCCAAAACUGGCAAGCUAGAGUACGGUAGAGGGUGGUGGAAUUUCCUGUGUAGCGGUGAAAUGCGUAGAUAUAGGAAGGAACACCAGUGGCGAAGGCGACCACCUGGACUGAUACUGACACUGAGGUGCGAAAGCGUGGGGAGCAA
Molecule: ribosomal RNA, 716 nt
Filed under: uncultured Pseudomonadales bacterium
Lineage: Bacteria; Pseudomonadati; Pseudomonadota; Gammaproteobacteria; Pseudomonadales
Description: bacterial SSU rRNA
Rfam family: Bacterial small subunit ribosomal RNA
Source: RNAcentral